Molecule: transfer RNA, 71 nt
Filed under: Ictidomys tridecemlineatus (thirteen-lined ground squirrel)
Lineage: Eukaryota; Metazoa; Chordata; Mammalia; Rodentia; Sciuridae
Description: Spermophilus tridecemlineatus (thirteen-lined ground squirrel) tRNA
Rfam family: tRNA
About the family: Transfer RNA (tRNA) molecules are approximately 80 nucleotides in length. Their secondary structure includes four short double-helical elements and three loops (D, anti-codon, and T loops).
Source: Rfam by way of RNAcentral
GGGGAUGUAGCUUAAUGGUAAGGCACUUGCCUAGCAUGUGUGAGUCCUGAGUCUAAUUCCCAGCACCAUCA